Molecule: ribosomal RNA, 253 nt
Filed under: uncultured bacterium
Lineage: Bacteria
Description: partial 16S ribosomal RNA
Rfam family: Bacterial small subunit ribosomal RNA
Source: RNAcentral
UACGUAGGGUGCAAGCGUUGUCCGGAAUUAUUGGGCGUAAAGAGCUCGUAGGCGGUCUGUCGCGUCGGCUGUGAAAACUCGGGGCUCAACUCCGAGCUUGCAGUCGAUACGGGCAGGCUAGAGUUCGGCAGGGGAGACUGGAAUUCCUGGUGUAGCGGUGAAAUGCGCAGAUAUCAGGAGGAACACCGGUGGCGAAGGCGGGUCUCUGGGACGGUACUGACGCUGAGACGCGAAAGCCAGGGGAGCGAACGGG